Molecule: ribosomal RNA, 253 nt
Filed under: uncultured bacterium
Lineage: Bacteria
Description: partial 16S ribosomal RNA
Rfam family: Bacterial small subunit ribosomal RNA
Source: RNAcentral
UACGGAGGGUGCAAGCGUUGUUCGGAAUCACUGGGCGUAAAGCGCGUGUAGGCGGUUUUUUAAGUCUGGUGUGAAAGCCCGGGGCUCACCCCCGGAAGCGCACUGGAGACUGGGAGACUGGAGUACCGGAGAGGAAGGUGGAAUUCCUGGUGUAGCGGUGAAAUGCGUAGAUAUCAGGAGGAACACCGGUGGCGAAGGCGGCCUUCUGGACGGAUACUGACGCUGAGACGCGAAAGCGUGGGGAGCAAACAGG